UGUGACUCCAGGCAGGGCUGAGACCCCCUGAACUGGGGAGGGCAGCCAGGGGUACCUGGAGCAGCCCCCAGGGCGUCUCAGUCUGCCCAUCACCACUGCCCGGAGCCAGCUUCCUCCGGCUCUCUGGCCCCCACUCCUCACCUGCAUCUACAGGCCACCCCCACCCCCAAGGCAGGAGCUCUUCCCACACCCGGUGGCAGCUUCCACCAUCCUGCCCUCCUCUCCCACCGGAAGUGCCUGCGACAGUGUGGUUGGUGCCAAGUUGUUUAUCUCUGCCGCGUGGUGACCUCACGAUACCUGGUGUGCGCCUGGUCUCCCCAGCAGCACUGUGAGCUCUUUAGGGACUGUGACAACCAGGAACACUGUCAGUUGCCAGUGAUAGAAUGCCCAACUAAAGCUCCUGUAAUGAAGACACUUAUUAUCCCAUACAACAGGAAGCCUGGCAGGCAGAGAUCUUCCAGAUUAUGUUAAUUUAGUGGCUCAACAAAAUCAAGGCUUUGGGUCCACUUCCCUGGCACUCUUUUGGCUUUACCCAGCAUGCUCAUCAGAAGGCUGCAACAGAGCUCACACAAGAACAUCCAAAGAUGGGAAGGAGCCCUUGUGUCCCUUGUCCUGAGAGCCAAAUGCUCCCCUGAGAUAUUGUGAUGUAGAAGAAGAAAUAUUUGUUUGGUCUUUGUCCUUGUUCCUGGCACAGAGCUCCAAAAGCCUUUGGAAUUUCCCAAAUGAUGAGAGGCAUCAAGGUGAAAGGAACAUCUUUUGUUAUUCAUAAUGAGGCCAUUUUGACCACACCUGACUUUCCGUUAAUGAAGUGUUUUUGGAAAGCCCCUAGAAACCCAACUGUAGGGAAGGGGGUGGGGGGCUAGUAGUCAGGGGAGAAACCCUGUGACUACAGGGUGGCGACUUUCAGUCCCACCCCUCAACCUCCGCAGAGGGAGAGGAGCUGAAGAUUGGGUUCAAUCACCAACGGUCAAUGGUUUAAUCAAUUGUGCCUAUAUGAUGAAGCCUCCAUUAAAAAAAAAAAACAACAACAAACCCUAACUGAAGGGGUUCAGAGAGCUUCUGGUUGGUGAACACAUAGAGGUGCCAGGAGGGUGACACCCACAGAGAGGGCCCCUUCCCCCAUAGCUCGCCCUACGCAUUUCUUCCAUCCGGCUCUUUCUGAGUUGUAUCCUUUUACAUUAAAC
RNAcentral lists this long non-coding RNA (1184 nucleotides) under Lynx canadensis (Canada lynx). RNAcentral's name for it is "lncRNA (ENSLCNG00005013255.1)". Lineage: Eukaryota; Metazoa; Chordata; Mammalia; Carnivora; Felidae. The record is from RNAcentral.